AGUUCCUACGGGGCGCAGCAGUGGGGAAUAUUGGGCAAUGGGCGCAAGCCUGACCCAGCAACGCCGCGUGAAGGAAGAAGGCCCUCGGGUUGUAAACUUCUUUUGUCAGGGACGAAGAAAGUGACGGUACCUGACGAAUAAGCCACGGCUAACUACGUGCCAGCAGCCGCGGUAAUACGUAGGAUGCGAGCGUUAUCCGGAUUUAUUGGGUUUAAAGGGUGCGUAGGCGGACGCUUAAGUCAGCGGUAAAAUUGCGGGGCUCAACCUCGUCGAGCCGUUGAAACUGGGUGCCUUGAGUGGGCGAG
Molecule: ribosomal RNA, 305 nt
Filed under: uncultured bacterium
Lineage: Bacteria
Description: bacterial SSU rRNA
Rfam family: Bacterial small subunit ribosomal RNA
Source: RNAcentral